UUCAGCACUUGGGAAACCGUGGUGAACCUGAACCUGAACCGGGGGGAGGAAAGUAGUCUGAAUGGCUGCCAUUUGAGUCCAAGGCCCACAGUCAGUGGGAAGGAUGCUAACCUGCAGCCCUCUCCAUAUGCUGAAGUAAUGGAGGCUUCCAUUACAAGGAGCUAUCUACUAAGCAGAGCCCAAAUUUGGUAUCCUAAGUAGGGAAACGGC
Molecule: non-coding RNA, 210 nt
Organism: Pelobates cultripes (western spadefoot toad)
Lineage: Eukaryota; Metazoa; Chordata; Amphibia; Anura; Pelobatidae
Source: the annotation of a GenBank genome assembly